GGAGAGGUGGCCGAGUGGUCUAAGGCGCGGGUUUGCUAAACCCGUGAGGGGGAAUACCCCUCCGCAGGUUCGAAUCCUGUCCUCUCCG
This 88-nucleotide transfer RNA is filed under the name Planctomycetota bacterium. Its description in RNAcentral is "Planctomycetes bacterium (hot springs metagenome) tRNA-Ser". It matches the Rfam family "tRNA". Rfam says of the family: Transfer RNA (tRNA) molecules are approximately 80 nucleotides in length. Their secondary structure includes four short double-helical elements and three loops (D, anti-codon, and T loops). Lineage: Bacteria; Pseudomonadati; Planctomycetota. The record is from RNAcentral. RNAcentral also lists the same sequence under 1 other name.